RNAcentral lists this ribosomal RNA (241 nucleotides) under uncultured bacterium. RNAcentral's name for it is "partial 16S ribosomal RNA". It matches the Rfam family "Bacterial small subunit ribosomal RNA", at positions 94 to 334 of the family's 1533-position model. The record is from RNAcentral.
AGUGGCGGACGGGUGAGUAACACGUAGAUGACCUGCCUUAAAGAGGGGGACAACCAAUGGAAACGCUGGCUAAUACCCCAUAAGCUCUGUAUAACUAGAAGAUAUAGAGUAAAGGAUUUAUUCGCUUUAAGAGGGGUCUGCGGGCUAUCAGCUAGUUGGUGGGGUAAAGGCUCACCAAGGCGAAGACGGCUAGGGGACGUGAGAGCGUGACCCCCCACAAUGGGACUGAGACACGGCCCAU